AGCAGCCGCGGUAAUACGAAGGGACCUAGCGUAGUUCGGAAUUACUGGGCUUAAAGAGUUCGUAGGUGGUUGAAAAAGUUGGUGGUGAAAUCCCAGAGCUUAACUCUGGAACUGCCAUCAAAACUUUUCAGCUAGAGUAUGAUAGAGGAAAGCAGAAUUUCUAGUGUAGAGGUGAAAUUCGUAGAUAUUAGAAAGAAUACCAAAUGCGAAGGCAGCUUUCUGGAUCAUUACUGACACUGAGGAACGAAAGCAUGGGUAGCGAAGAGGAUUAGAUACCCUCGUAGUCCAUGCCGUAAACGAUGUGUGUUAGACGUUGGAAAUUUAUUUUCAGUGUCGCAGCGAAAGCAAUAAACACACCGCCUGGGGAGUACGACCGCAAGGUUAAAACUCAAAUGAAUUGACGGGGACCCGCACAAGUAGUGGAGCAUGUGGUUUAAUUCGAAGAUACGCGCAGAACCUUACCGACACUUGACAUGUUCGUCGCGACUUUAAGAGAUUAAAGUUUUCGGUUCGGCCGGACGAAACACAGGUGCUGCAUGGCUGUCGUCAGCUCGUGUCGUGAGAUGUUGGGUUAAGUCCCGCAACGAGCGCAACCCUCACUUUUAGUUGCCAUCAUUUAGUUGGGCACUCUGAAAGAACUGCCAGUGAUAAGCUGGAGGAAGGUGGGGAUGACGUCAAGUCCUCAUGGCCCUUACGUGUUGGGCUGCACACGUGCUACAAUGGUAUCUACAACAGGAAGCAAAACUGCGAGGUUUAGCAAAUCCUUAAAAGAUACCUCAGUUCGGAUUGCACUCUGCAACUCGAGUGCAUGAAGCUGGAAUUACUAGUAAUCGUGGAUCAGCGUGCCACGGUGAAUGCGUUCCCGGGUCUUGUACACACCGCCCGUCACACCAUGGGAGUUGGUUCUACCUUAAGGCAAGGUUUCAAACCCUUGACCACGGUAUAGUCAGCGACUGGGGUGAAGUCGUAACAAGGUAGCCG
Molecule: ribosomal RNA, 981 nt
Filed under: uncultured bacterium
Lineage: Bacteria
Description: bacterial SSU rRNA
Rfam family: Bacterial small subunit ribosomal RNA
Source: RNAcentral